RNAcentral lists this non-coding RNA (31 nucleotides) under Rattus norvegicus (Norway rat). The record is from RNAcentral. Lineage: Eukaryota; Metazoa; Chordata; Mammalia; Rodentia; Muridae.
UUCAAAGGUGGAAUAAUCAACAGUGACAUUG